ACGUCAUUCGUUUUUAUCAGGAAUCCAUCAGAUUUUGAUAAAAGUUAAUGAAUUGUAAAAGUCUUAACUAACGUAUUGUUUCGCAGUGCUGGACACCGAAGCGAUGCGUUUUUUU
Non-coding RNA from Carnobacterium inhibens subsp. gilichinskyi, 115 nucleotides. Lineage: Bacteria; Bacillati; Bacillota; Bacilli; Lactobacillales; Carnobacteriaceae. The record is from Rfam.